Molecule: ribosomal RNA, 387 nt
Filed under: uncultured bacterium
Lineage: Bacteria
Description: bacterial SSU rRNA
Rfam family: Bacterial small subunit ribosomal RNA
Source: RNAcentral
GACGAACGCUGGCGGCGUGCUUAACACAUGCAAGUCGAGCGGUAAGGCCCUUUCGGGGGUACACGAGCGGCGAACGGGUGAGUAACACGUGGGUGACCUGCCCUUAGCUCUGGGAUAAGCCUGGGAAACUGGGUCUAAUACCGGAUAUGACCUCAUGACUCAUGUUGUGGGGUGGAAAGCCUUGUGCGGCUAGGGAUGGGCCCGCGGUCUAUCAGCUUGUUGGUGGGGUAAUUGCCACCAAGGCGACGACGGGUAGCCGGCCUGAGAGGGCGACCGGCCACACUGGGACUGAGACACGGCCCAGACUCCUACGGGAGGCAGCAGUGGGGAAUCUUGCGCAAUGGGCGAAAGCCUGACGCAGCGACGCCGCGUGAGGGAUGACGGCCU